AGUGAACGCUGGCGGUAGGCCUAACACAUGCAAGUCGAACGGCAGCACAGUAAGAGCUUGCUCUUACGGGUGGCGAGUGGCGGACGGGUGAGGAAUGCAUCGGAAUCUCCUUUUUCGUGGGGGAUAACGUAGGGACACUUACGCUAAUACCGCAUACGACCUACGGGUGAAAGCAGGAGAUCUUCGGACCUUGCGCGAUUGAAUGAGCCGAUGUCGGAUUAGCUAGUUGGCGGGGUAAAGGCCCACCAAGGCGACGAUCCGUAGCUGGUCUGAGAGGACGAUCAGCCACACUGGAACUGAGACACGGUCCAGACGCCUACGGGAGGCAGCAGUGGGGAAUAUUGGACAAUGGGCGCAAGCCUGAUCCAGCCAUACCGCGUGGGUGAAGAAGGCCUUCGGGUUGUAAAGCCCUUUUGUUGGGAAAGAAAAGCAGCAGGUUAAUACCCCUCUGUGCUGACGGUACCCAACGAAUAAGCACCUGCUAACUUCGUG
RNAcentral lists this ribosomal RNA (492 nucleotides) under uncultured bacterium. Its description in RNAcentral is "partial 16S ribosomal RNA". It matches the Rfam family "Bacterial small subunit ribosomal RNA", at positions 29 to 507 of the family's 1533-position model. The record is from RNAcentral.